UGAGGAAUAUUGGGCAAUGCCCGCAAGGGUGACCCAGCAACGCCGCGUGGAGGAUGAAUGUCGUAAGAUUGUAAACUCCUGUUAGAGGGGAAGAAUAGUACCGGUUGGACCGGUAUAUGACUGUACCCUCAGAGAAAGCCCCGGCUAACUACGUGCCUGCAGCCGCGGUAAUACGUAGGGGGCAAGCGUUGUCCGGAUUUACUGGGUGUAAAGGGCGCGCAGGCGGGAUAAAAAGUCAGUGGUGAAAUCCCACAGCUUAACUGUAGAACUGCCUUUGAUACUUUUAUUCUUGAGUUCGGGAGAGAGAGACGGAAUUCCAGGUGUAGUGGUGAAAUACGUAGAUAUCUGGAAGAACACCAGUUGCGAAGGCGGUCUCUUGGUCCGACACUGACGCUGAGGCGCGAAAGCGUGGGGAGCAAACA
This 422-nucleotide ribosomal RNA is filed under the name uncultured bacterium. RNAcentral describes it as "bacterial SSU rRNA". It matches the Rfam family "Bacterial small subunit ribosomal RNA", at positions 355 to 774 of the family's 1533-position model. The record is from RNAcentral.